Molecule: ribosomal RNA, 520 nt
Filed under: uncultured Glomus
Lineage: Eukaryota; Fungi; Glomeromycota; Glomeromycetes; Glomerales; Glomeraceae
Description: SSU rRNA
Rfam family: Eukaryotic small subunit ribosomal RNA
Source: RNAcentral
AGCAGCCGCGGUAAUUCCAGCUCCAAUAGCGUAUAUUAAAGUUGUUGCAGUUAAAAAGCUCGUAGUUGAAUUUCGGGAUCAAUUAAUUGGUCGUGCCUAUGGUACGUACUGAUUUUAUUGGUUUCUCCCUUCUGACGAACCAUGAUGUCAUUAAUUUGGUGUCUUGGGGAAUCAGGACUGUUACUUUGAAAAAAUCAGAGUGUUUAAAGCAGGCUCGCGCUUGAAUACAUUAGCAUGGAAUAAUGAAAUAGGACGUUUGAUUCUAUUUUGUUGGUUUCUAGGAUUGACGUAAUGAUUAAUAGGGAUAGUUGGGGGCAUUAGUAUUCAAUUGUCAGAGGUGAAAUUCUUGGAUUUAUUGAAGACUAACUACUGCGAAAGCAUUUGCCAAGGAUGUUUUCAUUAAUCAAGAACGAAAGUUAGGGGAUCGAAGACGAUCAGAUACCGUCGUAGUCUUAACCAUAAACUAUGCCGACUAGGGAUCGGAUGAUGUUAAUUUUUAAUGACCCAUUCGGCGCCUUAA